Molecule: long non-coding RNA, 437 nt
Filed under: Bos taurus (domestic cattle)
Lineage: Eukaryota; Metazoa; Chordata; Mammalia; Artiodactyla; Bovidae
Description: long non-coding RNA NONBTAT006660
Source: RNAcentral
UAUUUGAGAAACUGUAAUCACUGAUUUUUCCCCUGAGGAAUCGCCAUCAUACUAUUUAAGAUUUUCACCUAGAAUGUUACCUAUCUGUCUGUGUUAUCUUACUGCAUAAUUGCCUGCCUUGAAUUUUAAAUCCUACGAGGAAACUCUGUAUUCUUUUCUACCUAAGUUAUUACUGUGAUGCUGGAAGCUUGCACUUGGAAAAACUCCCAAGGUAGAAUCAGUUUUGCAAAUCCACCUACAUGCUGGUUUUCCUCUUACAAAUCAUUAACAAAGGUGUCAACCAGAAAAGUCACUAGCAGCCAUGCCUGCAGCACCCCACUGAUCAUCUGAGUAGAAUUUGAUAUAUUACCUUUAGUAAUACUGCCUUGUCCUUGUCAACUAAUUUUCAGUUCAUGUUGGGGCCUUAAUGGUCAAUACAAACAAAAUCACUUUUUCCC